GACGAACGCUGGCGGCGUGCUUAACACAUGCAAGUCGAGCGAUGAAACUUCCUUCGGGAAGUGGAUUAGCGGCGGACGGGUGAGUAACACGUGGGUAACCUGCCUCAAAGUGGGGGAUAGCCUUCCGAAAGGAAGAUUAAUACCGCAUAAUAUGAGAAAAUCGCAUGAUUUUCUUAUCAAAGAUUUAUUGCUUUGAGAUGGACCCGCGGCGCAUUAGCUAGUUGGUAAGGUAACGGCUUACCAAGGCAACGAUGCGUAGCCGACCUGAGAGGGUGAUCGGCCACAUUGGAACUGAGACACGGUCCAGACUCCUACGGGAGGCAGCAGUGGGGAAUAUUGCGCAAUGGGGGAAACCCUGACGCAGCAACGCCGCGUGGGUGAUGAAGGUUUUCGGAUUGUAAAGCCCUGUUUUCUUGGGACGAUAAUGACGGUACCAGAGGAGGAAGCCACGGCUAACUACGUGC
Molecule: ribosomal RNA, 464 nt
Filed under: bacterium enrichment culture clone TC60b_10323
Lineage: Bacteria
Description: bacterial SSU rRNA
Rfam family: Bacterial small subunit ribosomal RNA
Source: RNAcentral